Molecule: ribosomal RNA, 497 nt
Filed under: uncultured bacterium
Lineage: Bacteria
Description: bacterial SSU rRNA
Rfam family: Bacterial small subunit ribosomal RNA
Source: RNAcentral
AACGAACGCUGGCGGCGCGCCUAAUACAUGCAAGUCGAGCGAGAAGGUGUAGCAAUACACUUGUAAAGCGGCGAACGGGUGAGGAAUACAUGGGUAAUCUACCAUCGAGUGGGGAAUAACCAACCGAAAGGUUGGCUAAUACCGCGUACGCCUCCGGGUCUUCGGGUUCGGAGGGAAAGUCUGCACUGUGAGUGUAGCGCUCUUUGAUGAGCUCAUGUCCUAUCAGCUUGUUGGUAGGGUAACGGCCUACCAAGGCUUUGACGGGUAGCUGGUCUGAGAGGACGAUCAGCCACACUGGCACUGCGACACGGGCCAGACUCCUACGGGAGGCAGCAGUAAGGAAUAUUGCGCAAUGGGCGAAAGCCUGACGCAGCGACGCCGCGUGGGGGAUGAAGGUCUUCGGAUUGUAAACCCCUUUCGGGAGGGAAGAUGGAGCGAGCAAUCGUUCGGACGGUACCUCCAGAAGCAGCCACGGCCAACUUCGUGCCAGCAGCCGC